GACGAACGCUGGCGGCGCGCUUAACACAUGCAAGUCGAACGGAAAGGCUCCAGCUUGCUGGAGUACUCGAGUGGCGAACGGGUGAGUAACACGUGGGUAAUCUGCCCUGCACUCUGGGAUAAGCCUGGGAAACUGGGUCUAAUACUGGAUAUGACCUUUCUCCUUAUGGGGUUUGGUGGAAAGUUUUUCGGUGUGGGAUGAGCCCGCGGCCUAUCAGCUUGUUGGUGGGGUGAUGGCCUACCAAGGCGACGACGGGUAGCCGGCCUGAGAGGGUGAUCGGCCACAUUGGGACUGAGAUACGGCCCAGACUCCUACGGGAGGCAGCAGUGGGGAAUAUUGCACAAUGGGCGGAAGCCUGAUGCAGCGACGCCGCGUGAGGGAUGACGGCCUUCGGGUUGUAAACCUCUUUCAGCAGGGACGAAGCGUAAGUGACGGUACCUGCAGAAGAAGCACCGGCUAACUAUGUG
Molecule: ribosomal RNA, 467 nt
Filed under: uncultured bacterium
Lineage: Bacteria
Description: partial 16S ribosomal RNA
Rfam family: Bacterial small subunit ribosomal RNA
Source: RNAcentral